Wyeomyia smithii (pitcher-plant mosquito) is the source of this 691-nucleotide long non-coding RNA. RefSeq lists it as uncharacterized. The record is from RefSeq and is a predicted model, not a curated record. Lineage: Eukaryota; Metazoa; Arthropoda; Insecta; Diptera; Culicidae. The transcript is spliced from 2 exons.
AAUACAAGUCACAAGAACACAUGGUUCGCUCUUUAAGCACUCAAUUCUCCCUCUUCCAUACACUUUGCGGCCUUUCUUGGUCUGUUGACGAACCCAACUCCUAACAACCACGUAGUUUAGGAACGACCCCAACUUCCAUGCACGCAUCAGCUCAGUGUGAUUACCAUCUGUUAGCUGUUAGAAAACUAUUUCAUUUGAAUUAAUGUUUAUAAACAGAACACACCGUGAUUACCGUGAUUAGCUCACUUAUAAACGAUCAACCGAGACUUUUCUCGCACACUUGAGUAAAUUAGUCAAACGAGCUUAAGAAAGAACUCUACUUGAUCAAAAUGCUAGCAAUGAAAAGUAAAACUACGGUCUUUCUUGUUACAUUUGCGAUAUUCGCAGUCUCUUGGCAGCUAGGUUACGCACAGAUACGCUCUCGGGGAGAAGUAUUCAACGAUGUUAUCGAAUAUAUAACUACAAUAACCGACGAUAUCUACAAGUACAACCCCAGCUGGCCGGAAGAGUUGAAAACUAACCUGUCCCAAGUGGUGACUGCGCUGAAGGAAUGGAAGGAUACUGCAAACUCCGAUAUGGCUCCACAGCAGCCGAACUUUUUACUGCACCGUAAAUAAAGAAUCUUAUUUUCGAAAAUAUAAGCUUUAAAGCAAACAAAUAAAAAUUCACUAUUAAAUAUUUCUUUGAACAA